UCCCUGGAGGACUAGUGGAUAGGCCACAGCGCUCUCACUGCUGCGGCCCGGGUUCGAUUCCCAGCCAGGGAA
Molecule: transfer RNA, 72 nt
Filed under: Pangasianodon hypophthalmus (striped catfish)
Lineage: Eukaryota; Metazoa; Chordata; Actinopteri; Siluriformes; Pangasiidae
Rfam family: tRNA
About the family: Transfer RNA (tRNA) molecules are approximately 80 nucleotides in length.
Source: Rfam by way of RNAcentral